RNAcentral lists this ribosomal RNA (253 nucleotides) under uncultured bacterium. RNAcentral's name for it is "partial 16S ribosomal RNA". It matches the Rfam family "Bacterial small subunit ribosomal RNA", at positions 524 to 776 of the family's 1533-position model. The record is from RNAcentral.
UACGUAGGGGGCAAGCGUUGUCCGGAAUCAUUGGGCGUAAAGAGCGUGUAGGCGGCCCGAUAAGUCCGCUGUGAAAGUCCAGGGCUCAACCCUGGGAUGCCGGUGGAUACUGUCGGGCUCGAGUCCGGAAGAGGCGAGUGGAAUUCCUGGUGUAGCGGUGAAAUGCGCAGAUAUCAGGAGGAACACCAAUAGCGAAGGCAGCUCGCUGGGACGUUACUGACACUGAGGCGCGAAAGCGUGGGGAGCGAACAGG